UUUAUCUGUAGAUUUUUGUAUUUUGAUUUCUUCAUCAUUCCAUCAAUACAGAUAAUAAAAUUAACAUCAUUGCAAGAACUUGUUUAAAAAUUAAAGGAAAAUUACAUACUGAAAACCAAUCCUGAAUUUUGCAUGGGACAUGUUUAAACUGGGUUAUAAAAUCUUACAUAUUUAAUCUCACAGAGAAAAAGCUCCUGCUGGUUGGACCCAGGUUAUUCGAACUCAGAAUUCAGAGAUGUCUUCUUCCCUUGAGUCAGUGCUUUGUGGAGGAUCUACAAGACUUCCCCAGGCUGUAUGCGCUGGGCUGCAGAAUGCUGAGGGAUAUCAGUGGUGCAUCUAAGAAAUUCAUUUUGUCUCCUGGAAAGUCAAAGCACUCUUCUUGACAGGUGCUGUGAGGAGGAACAAACUGGGCUGGAUUCAUGCUGCAAAGAUGCAAUUCCUUCAUGAUAACUAGAGAGAGAAGCAGUGAGAGUGAUAAGUUAGCAAACUAAGCUGGAACCUUGGAGGGGAGAAAGAACAAAAAUGGUUCUUUCUAAUAUGCAAAGAAACAAAUAAGCAGUUCUUAGACCAGCUUUUGGAUUUUUGCAUUUUCAGUGUCCCGUUCAAUCUUAUCUGACUUGACUAAGCCAACAGAUCCUUUAAAGUAAUACCUGUGACCGAAGGGGAAGGUUGUGCUUAGGUUUGAUGGUGGAUUUUCAGUUUAAAAUUUUCCACCACACUGUCACAAUUUUGAAGUUUAUUUAUUUGCUCUGCCAAGGUCCACUUCCUCCAAGAGCGAUUACCAAAAACAUUUGUGCAGUGAUAAUCCUUCUAGAUUUACACUCUCAACAUGCAGUUCACCAACUGGGAUGAGGACUAUACAAGGAUUAAAGCAAAUUUUGAUAAAAUUAUAAUGUAAUGUAAAAACUGCUUCCCUUGCUGCUGCAAUUCCUCUUUCCCCAGCUACACAAGCAUGUGUGUUAUUUUCCUUUGUUUUCUAUGUUUCAAUACAAUACCAUUAAUGUUGUAAAUUUUGAUUAAAAGGUGAGUAGUUUGUGCAAGAGAACACUUCUGGAAAGCAUCACUUUAAUUCACACAGUUGGCACACUAUUGGAGUCCUUUCCAAUAUCAAUUCUAUCUAGUUCUUCUCAUAAAUAUUCACAGAAAGCAGUCCUUAGCUUUAAAACCUGACCCCAGGAUCCACCAGUCUUUCCUUCUCACUAACACUAUUGGACAGGGAUUUUUAUCUUUGUAAUCCUGAGGAGCAUUGUCAUGAUAAUGCUGGUUUCUAAAUAGCAGGAGGUAGUAAUUUAUUGAAAUGAACACCAGAAUAUGUAUUUUUUACAUUCUUUCAUAGAUCAGAAACCUGAGGGUGUUUUGCUCAAACUUUCUCAAGAAUUUUACCUUUAAGCAGAAAAGAGAAUUGAUCGUUUUAAAAUAAAGGAGCUGUGCUUUAGAAAAUCUUAAGCAGGGACUUCCAAGUUUUGCUUAACAUGAGAAAUCAAAUUAGGAGUGCUAUAAACAAAAUUCAGCUCACUGCAAUGCCUAAAUUAAUACAAUGAUUCAAGCAAGGACUUUUUUGCAGGUUUUGUGUGACCUGCAGGACAGUCUGGGAAGUUGUGGCUCAGAGUACAUGGAAACAAACAUAACUGAUAGUACUUGGUUUUGCUAUACUACCUAUUACAUUCAAUGAAGUUGAAGACGUGGCAGUAGCAUAGAUAAGAAAAGCUCAACAAAUUCCCCAGUCAAUACACUUUUCUUGGUUAAAACUCACUAUGGAAAAUGAUGUGGUAGAAUUUCACACAGAUGCACUGUCAGAUAAACCUGACAUGGUCUGUCUGCAAGCCAGCUGUAAGGAAAAUUUGACACUUUUCAAUUGCUGUCUGCCCAGGAAACCUCUGCUUUUCCAUUACUCAGAUUAUGUCUAAUUUAGGGUAUUUCGUACAUUUAUCUCUUGGAGAUGAUAUAUAGAGCAGUAAUGAAGAAAUACACCAUCUAUCAAGGCAGCAUGCUGUAGAAAUGAGUUCUAGAGCCCUGAGGUGUUGUGAUGGGAUUAACGAGGUGUGGUAGUUACAACACCCUGAUGGGGUGAUGGGCUGCUGGAUGGGGUGAUUAGGCGAUCAGGCAGAGGCUCGAUGGCUCUUAUUGAUGCCUCAGUUGAGUGCAAAUAGGGAGCGGUGGGAACUCUUUGCUGUUGCACAAGACCCACAGCCCUUGAGCAGCCUGACCAAAUUGGUUAUAACCAGAAACUAAUCCCAGCCACACCCAGCCCCUCUGAUUUCUGAGUACUGGCUGGAAUGCAAGGGCGUUCAUUUUCUGCCAAAUUUCUACACUCUUAACACAAUUUAUGCCGAAAAUAGAAGUCUGAACUCAGCUGCAGUCUUCUGUCUGUCCUGCUUGCCUGACCCCUGCGAGCAUGUUGCUCAGUGGGAGAUGGGGGAUUAAUCAGAAAAGUAGUAAUGAGAAAAUAAACUGGGUACAGACUCUGCAAACUCUUUUGCUCACGGUUCAUAUCUAAUACUAAGUAGCUGUGGAACUCUUUGAGGCCAGGAUCGAGAAGGCGUGAUAGGCAGUGCCAGCACUGACACAUGAAUCUCAAUUUCCUUGUGAUAUUAUUAUGCCAUGAUAAAGAUUAUUACAUUAUUAUCACAGCCCGGUAAAGCUUUCUCACUUCCACUCGGGUCAGACUGAUUCUAAAGAGAGCUCCCCGUGCGUUGCUACAUCUCUGUUGUAGAAACCACAACUGUUCAAAGGAAGAUUAAAUAACGCAGGAGGUAAGUAAGUGUUAAAGGCUGCCACAUUCCUCAAGCAGCAGUUUAUCACCUGUGUUAAGGGAGAGAACUGCUACCACACAGAAAUCAGGAUCACGAUGCUAUUUUAACUAUAAUUUACACUACCUAUGUCCUUUAACUUAAACUAUAUGUUGCAAUGAGUCAGCUAAUACAGAAUAAGAUUUAAAGGAAGUUAACGCAUUAGUGUAGCAGGACCUAAUUCAGCUUGAACUAACGUGCUACUACAUUCAAUGUGAAAUACAGACUAUCUUGGGAACACAGCUGCAUACUUUGUGGACCGCGGUCUUGAAACAGCCAAAGGGAUUAAACUAGUCUAACUAAUAGUAACGAUCCUCUUCUUGUAGAAAUAGUCACUGGAAUUGCUUUAUGUUCUCCCAGGUGUCUGCCUGGCUCUGGUGCCCCCCACUUGGGAGUUUUAUAAGGAAAGAGAACAGGCCAGGC
This 3212-nucleotide long non-coding RNA is filed under the name Strigops habroptila (Kakapo). Its description in RNAcentral is "lncRNA (ENSSHBG00005005864.1)". The record is from RNAcentral. Lineage: Eukaryota; Metazoa; Chordata; Aves; Psittaciformes; Psittacidae.